This 508-nucleotide ribosomal RNA is filed under the name uncultured Zavarzinia sp. Its description in RNAcentral is "bacterial SSU rRNA". It matches the Rfam family "Bacterial small subunit ribosomal RNA", at positions 373 to 905 of the family's 1533-position model. The record is from RNAcentral. Lineage: Bacteria; Pseudomonadati; Pseudomonadota; Alphaproteobacteria; Rhodospirillales; Zavarziniaceae.
GGGCGCAAGCCUGAUCCAGCAAUGCCGCGUGAGUGAUGAAGGCCUUAGGGUUGUAAAGCUCUUUCACCCACGACGAUAUGACGGUAGUGGGAGAAGAAGCCCCGGCUAACUUCGUGCCAGCAGCCGCGGUAAUACGAAGGGGGCUGCGUUGUUCGGAAUGACUGGGCGAAAGGGCGCGUAGGCGGUUGACCAAGUUGGGGGUGAAAGCCCGGGGCUUAACCUCGGAAUUGCCUCCAAAACGGUCGGCUUGAGUGUGGAAGAGGGUUGUGGAAUUCCCAGUGUAGAGGUGAAAUUCGUAGAUAUUGGGAAGAACACCAGUGGCGAAGGCGACAACCUGGUCCAUUACUGACGCUGAGGCGCGACAGCGUGGGGAGCAAACAGGAUUAGAUACCCUGGUAGUCCACGCCGUAAACGAUGAGUGCUGGAUGUUGGACGGUUGCCGUUCAGUGUCGAAGUUAACGCGAUAAGCACUCCGCCUGGGGAGUACGGCCGCAAGGUUGAACUCAAA